Molecule: long non-coding RNA, 250 nt
Filed under: Ananas comosus (pineapple)
Lineage: Eukaryota; Viridiplantae; Streptophyta; Magnoliopsida; Poales; Bromeliaceae
Description: long non-coding RNA (ACOM_LNC001569)
Source: RNAcentral
GUCCAGACUAGAAAACUAUUCCGAAACCUAUCCAUUUAAAAGUUGGGUUCGAGUCGAAUCUAAGUCAGGUAUGGGUAUAAAAUAUCCGGACCCAUAUCCGAAACUUUAAUCGGUAAUUUUUUUUAUCCAUAUAUUAUCCAUUUUUUAUCGGGUUCGGUUCGGAUCCGGAUAGGGUCUGGAUCGGAUAUUGUAUAUCUGAUAUUUUGGACAGCUUUUUUUUUCCCCCUCUUUCUUUAUAGCUGGUUAUGGG